GAGAGUCUGUUGAAGAUGGGCCGAAUUCAAGACAAUAGUGCUUCCAAGAAACCGUUUGCUGGUAACGGUCAACGAAGAAAAGAAGGCGAGACAAUCAGCUUUGCAGAGAUAGUAAUUGCUGGAGAAAGAAUCGAGAGUCUGUUGAAGAUGGGCCGAAUUCAAGACAAUAGUGCUUCCAAGAAACCGUUUGCUGGUAACGGUCA
This 203-nucleotide long non-coding RNA is filed under the name Lathyrus oleraceus (garden pea). RNAcentral's name for it is "Pisum sativum (pea) long non-coding RNA (PSAT_LNC020872)". Lineage: Eukaryota; Viridiplantae; Streptophyta; Magnoliopsida; Fabales; Fabaceae. The record is from RNAcentral.